GACCUCCGAUCAAGCAAGAGGACCCGCUGAAUUUAAGCAUAUAACUAAGCGGAGGAAAAGAAACUAACCAGGAUUCCCCCAGUA
Molecule: ribosomal RNA, 84 nt
Filed under: Saccharina japonica
Lineage: Eukaryota; Phaeophyceae; Laminariales; Laminariaceae
Description: partial 26S ribosomal RNA
Rfam family: Eukaryotic large subunit ribosomal RNA
Source: RNAcentral